This 158-nucleotide microRNA precursor is filed under the name Prunus dulcis (almond). RNAcentral's name for it is "sRNA ncRNA". Lineage: Eukaryota; Viridiplantae; Streptophyta; Magnoliopsida; Rosales; Rosaceae. The record is from RNAcentral.
AGUGGGAAGAUGAGAGGGGAGGAUGGGAGGGAGGAGUAACAAAAGUGAAAACAAAAACUAAAAACUGAAAUCUAUUUGAAAUUGUUUUCACUUUCAAGUUUUUGUUUUCACUUUUGUUACUCCCCCCGCUCCAAUCCUCCCCUCUCAUCCUCUCUCUC